Condylostylus longicornis is the source of this 788-nucleotide long non-coding RNA. RefSeq lists it as uncharacterized. NCBI's taxonomy places the organism in Eukaryota, Metazoa, Arthropoda, Insecta, Diptera, Dolichopodidae. The record is from RefSeq and is a predicted model, not a curated record. The transcript is spliced from 3 exons.
UUUCUAACAUGAGCAAAACUAAACUAAAAAUAAUGCAAUUUUACACAUAUCACUUGCUUUUUCAGUCAAUAUUAUUAUAUAUAUUUUAUAAAAAAUUAAAGUAAAUUAUUGGGAGAAUGAACUUGACGGUUUGAUAAUAAAUUAUCAACAUUUGGCAUUAAUUUAGUCAGGUUUAACUUCAAAUUUAAUCGGUUAAUAAUGUCUGGUCUGUUUUUUUGUUAUGAAAUUCAUAACUACGUUGGAACCCUUUCCUACAAGGCGUGAAGAUGGGAAAGCUGAGAAAAAGAUUAAAUUUUUCAUUUAUAGAUGAAAUAAUAUAUUGUCUUUCUAAAAGGAAAUUUUCAUUAAAUAGACCCCCCAUUUUCAUUUCGACGAUCUGCAAUUUUUGGGAAUCACUGGUUUAAACAAUGAGUGCAAAACAUAAAUAAUGAUCGUAUCAUUUUCAAAAAAAAAUAAACUUCUGAAUUUUGGUAGCUGUCGCAAUGAAACGUAAUUUAUUUUCUAAGUUACUCAUAUGGGUUUUUGUAUUAUUUCUUUCACAAAUAAAUUUUAUUAAUGGAAAAAAAGAAAAAGAUGAAAUGCGUUGGAAUGUAGAUGUAUAUAGAGGCCCAAACAGCGAUGCACUUAAAUGGGGUUUUGUUAUAAGAGUGAAAUGUUAAAUCAGCAGACUGUUUCCAAAUAAAGUGACGCACUGUUCUUAAAUCCAUGUUUGGGUCAACAACCUAAAAAAUAUGUUAUGCAAGGAUAUAUACACAUAUAAUGUUCAAAGAAAUAUAACUAUAUACCAC